RNAcentral lists this long non-coding RNA (4621 nucleotides) under Solanum tuberosum (potato). Its description in RNAcentral is "long non-coding RNA (STUB_LNC006881)". Lineage: Eukaryota; Viridiplantae; Streptophyta; Magnoliopsida; Solanales; Solanaceae. The record is from RNAcentral.
CUGAGGGUGAUCAACGCUGCACUCAAUCAACAACUUUUUUUCUCAGUUGCAAACCACAUGCUCACUGUUGUGGGUAUUGAUGCUACUUACAACAAGCCUUUUACAACUAAUGUCAUUAUGGUUGGACCUGGACAAACAACUAAUGUAAUUCUCACUGCUAAUCAGUCCCCUCGCCAAUACUACAUGGCCGCUCGUGCCUAUGCCACAGUCAGAAAUGGGCAAUUUGAUAACACUACUACCACUGCCAUCCUUGAGUACAAAAAUCUGAACUCGGGCGCGAAUUCAAGGCCUUUAUUGCCUCAACUUCCAGCCUUUAAUGAUACAGCCACAGCCACUGCUUUCGCUAACCGAUUGAGGGGCGUUCCUAACAAUAAUAGAGUUCCCAAUCAGAUUGAUGAGAACUUGUUUUUCACUGUUGGACUAGGCUUAGUGAACUGCACCCGUGGCCCUAGAUGUCAAGGGCCUAAUAAUACGCGAUUUGCAGCUAGCAUGAACAACAUUUCAUUUGUUUUACCUAGAAGAACUUCAUUGCUCCAGGCCUAUUACCAAAAAAUUCCAGGGAUUUAUACAUUGGACUUUCCACGUGUUCCACCGGUUCAAUUUGAUUACACAGGCAAUGUUUCAAGAGGACUCUGGCAACCAAGAUUUGGAACAAAGUUGUACAAGCUCAAGUUUGGUUCUAAUGUACAAAUUGUGUUGCAAGAUACUGCUAUCUUCUCUACAGAGGACCAUCCUAUACAUCUUCACGGAUACCAUUUUUGGGUCGUUGGACAAGGUUUUGGUAACUUCAAUGCUCAAACUGAUACUGCUAACUUUAACUUGAAUGAUCCGCCUGUCAGGAACACAAUCGAUGUUCCUGUUGGUGGAUGGACAGUCAUCCGUUUCGUGGCUGAUAAUCCAGGUAAAGAACCUGAUUUCAUCAUUAAAAAUGUUCAAAUUUUCAAAUUUUAUACCUGUUUUGAUAAUUUGAUUGAUUUGUUGCAGGGGUUUGGUUGUUCCAUUGCCACAUUGAUUCUCAUUUGGCUUGGGGCCUAGCUAUGGCAUUCAUCGUCGAAAAUGGAAUAGGAGAGAAACAGACAAUGGAACCACCUCCACCAGAUCUACCACAAUGCUAAAAAUAUAUAGUGAAUGUUAGAUUCGGAAGAAUCAUAUGUUUUGCAAUUAUAGCAAAUUGUCCUUGUUAUGUUUUUGUCCUAAAAUUAAGCAGUUAUUAGUGUGUCUAUUUGAUGUUUCCCCUAAGUGUGAGCCAUCAGGAUUUAGCCUUGGCUUUAUUGAGUUUGAAAUUCAUCAGUCUAUGAUAUAUGUUUGACUUCAUAUAUUAUAUAGUAAUCACAAUCUUGGUUUCUGUCAGCAUCAUACAAAAGUGCUCAACAGUUUUAUUGUCAUCACAUAUCUUUGUUUCUUAAGAAUAUUUUUGAAGUGACAGCGACAACAUAUAACUAAACCUUAAAGCUAGAACAUGGCAUCUACCUAACCUAAGACGUUUUCCAAGACUAAUUAAUUCCCUUUGCAACAGGUCAAUUGACUGAAUUACUUAAUCUGUUGACAUUUGUUCAUAUGAUGCUGGUUGUUUAAUCUGAUUUGUUAUCGAUUUCAUCACUAAACUAGCCAAUAAGUCCUCAAUGAGAUGAUUAAAAAAAGAUGGAAUUAAUUUAACUUCUUGACCAAAAACUUGAAGCCCUUCUCCUGUAUGGUUCUUAACAACUUGUGAUCUCCAAGUCCCCUACCAUUUCAACACAACUUUGGAAAAUGGCUUGGAGUGCAGUAUAAGUUCAAAUCUAAUAGCAAGAAACUAAAAAGAUGCUAUUGUGUAUUACAAAGGAAUAUAGUAUCUCUAUUCUCAAAGACUCGAACUUUAAACGUCUGAUUAAAGCCAGAUGAUCCAACUAUAUAUCCUACCACCUUCUGAUUUCUCUUCUACUCCCUCUGUCCCAAUUUAUAUGACACAUUUUAUGUUUUGAGAGUCAAACAGUUUAAGUUUGACCGGUAAUUUGUGCGUGGAAUCUUCAAUUUUUUUGGAAUGAAAUUUAUAUAUUUGUAAACUACGUAAAAAGUACUAUGAGUCACAAUAAUUGAUAAUUCAAAAUGUUUAAAAGAUCUAUGAAAAAUUUACGGUCAAAGAUAGACUUGUUUGACUCUUGAAAUCCGAAAGGUGACAUAUAAAAUGGGACGGAGGGAAUAUUUCUUUUUCUUGUUGUAGGCUAGCAGAUAAAAUGUUUUCCCGAAUUAAUGGUAAAAAGCAAACCUAAUGUAUCCCGGUUUAUCGAGUUUCUUACCUGAACUAUCAGUUGAGUGAGUUUUCCACUUGAACUAUCACAAACUAUUGAUCAAAACACACCUGAACUAUCCAUUGUUCUCUUUUCCUACCUGAAAUAUCACCAUAUCGUUCAGAUAGGAAACUCACACACGACAUACUUUACGUGUGUUUUUGACCCUUCACUCUAUUUUCCCUAAGUAUUUGUUAGGGAAAAUAUUAUAUUUGUUAUCGUACAACUACCUCAUAUGGACAGGUAAACAUGGACGACAUGAGUAUUAGUCACUUUUAGCUGUUUUUUGAGGCAUGGUCAAGUAGGAAUUUGGUCGUACAUGAAUACUAACUAACGGAGCUUUACACAAACCGCAACAAAACAAUUAAAUAACCUAUUCAACUAGCUGUAUUUUUUUUAAAACUAAGCAGACACAGUUCUGUGAAAUACUAUUUUCGUCCCAAUUUAUGUGACACAGUUGAAUUUGAAUUUGAAUACUGACACUUACUAGCAGAAGAAAUGCUCAUUCGGAUUGUGCUGUUUCUAGUAAUUGGUUUAUCUUCUUCAUUGUUUGGAACAAACUUUCCCCUUCAUACUUAAAUUAGAUGUUUUAAUUGUCUUAUCAUGCUAAUGAAAAGGAAGAUUAACCAUCUUCACAUAUAAAAAUACAAGAAGAUUUUACCUAGAAAUGGAAGAUAAAAUUAAAUAAGAGAUACUGAAGAAACAUUCAAAAUUUCAUAGAAAAAGAAACAGAGAAACCGUUUUAAUAACUAAAUUUACUGAUUUACAAGAAAGACACAGCAAAGUUACAUUAUAAUUGCAAGUGGUUGUACCAAAUCCACCAUUUAGUUGGACUAAGUUGCCUAAAACUUUCCAAAAUCCCUGUUUGACUUUAAACUAAUCUACCUCCUAAUCCUUGUUAUUCCAUCCUUGUAACAUUAUAAAUAGACAAGUCCAUCAAAUCCUCUAAUCAUUGCAUUAACACUUCAUUAAUUCCUCUAAACAUAGCAUACAACUUUCAAGCAUUGGCUCAAACAAAUGCAAAAAAGAAGAGAAAUGGAUACUUGUAUAAGUUGUCUCAUUGUGGUUAUACUAUCACUACUCUCUACUUUUGCUAACGCAGAAUUUCAUUACCAUGAAUUUAUUGUAAGUAUACAUUCACCUUUUCUUUUUAUAACUUAAGAAAAAAAAUUCCAACAUUGUCCUGAAACACCUUUUUUUUAACAGGUUCAAGAAACUAGUGUAACUAGGCUAUGCAGAACCAAGAAUAUAAUUACAGUGAAUGGACAAUUCCCAGGGCCAACUUUGACAGUUCGAAAUGGAGAUACAUUGUUUGUUACUGUUGUUAAUAGAGCUCGUUACAACGUUACCAUCCAUUGGUAAUUACCUUAUAAGUGAAAAAUAUUUUUUUUUAUAUUAUCAGUGCAUAAAACUUAGACUGUUCUGAAUUUCUGUGCAGGCAUGGAAUUCGUCAAAUGCGAACACCAUGGGCUGAUGGGCCUGAGUAUGUUACACAAUGCCCAAUUAGACCAGGAGGAUUUUACACAUACAGAUUUACUAUUGAAAACCAAGAGGGUACAUUGUGGUGGCAUGCUCACAGCAAAUGGCUUAGAGCUACUGUUUAUGGUGCAUUAGUUAUUUUACCUAAACAGGGUUCUAAUUUUCCUUUUUCACUGCCCCAGAAAGAUUUUCCUGUUCUUCUUGGUAAUGCUUCUUUCUCUUUAUCUUUUCGGUUUAAUUUAUAUACACUGACAGUGAAAAAGCACGUUUUGUACUAUUUUUAUUUCACUCCGAAUUCGAUAAGACUAUAUGUUUUUAUUUUGUAUAGGAGAAUGGUGGAACAGAGACAUUAUUGUAGUACAAAGACAAGCACAAUUUACUGGAGCAGCUCCUAAUAAUUCUGAUGCAUAUACUAUUAAUGGUCAACCUGGUGACCUCUACAGAUGCUCUACACAAGGUCCUUACUACAUAAAAGAAAAUGAAACAUAAAAGAUUUAACUUAUAUACACUGACAGUGUAAAUAAUCCGUGAAACGACUAAUUCAGAAUUGUAAUGCAGGUACUGUGAAAUACUUGGUGAAUCCCGGAGAAUCAGUUCUCCUGAGGGUGAUCAACGCUGCACUCAAUCAACAACUUUUUUUCUCAGUUGCAAACCACAUGCUCACUGUUGUGGGUAUUGAUGCUACUUACAACAAGCCUUUUACAACUAAUGUCAUUAUGGUUGGACCUGGACAAACAACUAAUGUAAUUCUCACUGCUAAUCAGUCCCCUCGCCAAUACUACAUGGCCGCUCGUGCCUAUGCCACAGUCAGAAAUGGGCAAUUUGAUAACACUACUACCACUGCCAUCCUUGAGUACAAAAAUCUGAACUCGGGC